UAACUUUGAUCCAUAAGAGAGUUGGUAUGGACGCAUUUGGGGUUUAACAAGAUGUUCAUUUUUUAUAAUGGACAUAACACAUCCUGUUAAUAGAAAACAUGUUAUGGCUCAACUCGCAGUGAUUUACCUGAUUUAUAAUGAUAAAUGUUUUUGCGAGCAAAAUUUUUAUAAUGAUAAAUGUUUUUGCGAGGAAAUUGGGAGCUUUUAUUAUGAACACUAUGUUAGAGUACUUGACAAGGGAGAGCAAGCGGACAGGUAAAUCAUGCACUCUAUUUUUUAGCAGCAUUGCCUUGUAAUUUUCUAUUAUCUUCUCUUCUCCCCCUCCCUUGUUGCGAUCGAGGUUGAACAACAAUUCUGAUGAGAG
RNAcentral lists this long non-coding RNA (364 nucleotides) under Panax ginseng (ginseng). Its description in RNAcentral is "long non-coding RNA (PGIN_LNC004912)". Lineage: Eukaryota; Viridiplantae; Streptophyta; Magnoliopsida; Apiales; Araliaceae. The record is from RNAcentral.